GAGAGAGACAUGCGCUCAUAUCAAUAAGCGGAGGAAAAGAAACUAACUAGGAUUCCCUCAGUAACGGCGAGUGAAGCGGGAAGAGCUCAAAUUUGAAAUCUUAAAGGUUUCCCUUGACGAAUUGUAGUUUAAAGAAGUGUUUUCUGUUGGAGUUUUGGUAAAAGUUCUUUGGAAUAGGACAUCAUAGAGGGUGAGAAUCCCGUAUUUGACCAUUAUUUCCAGCUUUGUGAUACACUUUCAAAGAGUCGGAUUGUUUGGGAAUGCAGUCCAAAAUGGGUGGUAAAUUUCAUCUAAAGCUAAAUACUGGCGAGAGACCGAUAGCGAACAAGUACCGUGAGGGAAAGAUGAGAAGGAACUUUGAAAAGAGAGUUAAACAGUACGUGAAAUUGUCAAAAGGGAAGCGUUUGACACCAGUGUUGUUUUCUCGAAAAUCAAUUAAAAAAGGCAGGAUUUUGUGUUGUAUUGACUUUAUCAGCUUUCUGCACUCUUUUCUUGUCUUUUUUAAUGCACUUUUCGUUUAACAAGUCAACAUCAAUUUCUUUUGUUGUAAAAGGGUCAUUGGAAGGUGGCUUUCUUUUCGGAGAAAGUGUUUAUAGCCUUUGGCCUCUGCAAUCGGAGAGAUUGAGGUCUGCAGCGUAGAUCCUUCGGGGUUAGAUACAUUUGUGCUAAGUUAUAGCCUUUCAUAGACAACUUGUUGACUAUGAUCAGUCAUGUAGCUUACUCGCUUAUGCUAUUUUACCUACGCUUAGGAUGUUGAUGUGAUACUGCGAGCA
Molecule: ribosomal RNA, 773 nt
Filed under: uncultured Neocallimastigales
Lineage: Eukaryota; Fungi; Neocallimastigomycota; Neocallimastigomycetes; Neocallimastigales
Description: partial large subunit ribosomal RNA
Rfam family: Eukaryotic large subunit ribosomal RNA
Source: RNAcentral